GAAUUUUGGACAAUGGGCGAAAGCCUGAUCCAGCAAUGCCGCGUGCAGGAUGAAGGCCUUCGGGUUGUAAACUGCUUUUGUCCGGAACGAAAAGCUUUGGGUUAAUACCCUGGCGUCAUGACGGUCCCGUAAGAAUAAGCACCGGACAACUACGUCCCAGCAGCCGCGGUAGUACGGAGGGUGCAAGCGUUAAUCGGAAUUACUGGGCGUAAAGCGUGAGCGGGCGGUGUUGUAAGACAGAGGUGAAAGCCCCGGGCGCAACCUAGGAACUGCGUUUGUGACAGCAAGUCUAGAGUACGGCAGAGGGGGGUGGAAUUCCGCGUGUAGCAGUGAAAUGCGUAGAUAUGCGGAGGAAAACCGAUGGCGAAGGCAACCCCCUGGGCCUGUACUGACGCUCAUGCACGAAAGCGUGGGGAGCAAACAG
This 424-nucleotide ribosomal RNA is filed under the name uncultured bacterium. RNAcentral's name for it is "partial 16S ribosomal RNA". It matches the Rfam family "Bacterial small subunit ribosomal RNA", at positions 359 to 775 of the family's 1533-position model. The record is from RNAcentral.